CUAAUAUACAAGGUAAACGGUGCAGUAUCCUAGUCGGGGUGGCCAUCUUCCAGGAAGGGCCUAAAAAUCCUUUGAAGGGCACAUCGAUGAAGUCCCUGGUGUUUGCUUGUUACGCCCAGUUUCGGGUGGAUGCUGGGGGUUAAGGAUUCCGGGCGCGCGCAACGGCAUGACGCAUACGACCCGGUUUCCGUGGAGACUUGAAGCUUGUGCGACGACGGUUGAAGCCCUUAGGCGGCUCCGAUCGCGUACGAAUCAGGUAUGAACCUGCAAGGCGGUGCACAGAAUCGUGUGCUGCGUGCAGCGUAGCCUGCCUUGCGUGGAAAUGCGGGAAAAGAAGACCAGACGGCCGGCCGCUAUGGCCAUAGCGGCUGCUGUCAUCGCUUCUGGAAACCAUUUCUGCAAAAGAGGCUAAGAUCAUGGCUUCCCUCGUUGUGGAAAACACCUAGGCUGUCGUAAAAGGGCAGGCAGGGGAUUGCAGUACGGACUAAGUGGCAAUCGGGUACCCAUUAUCAUGGCAACACUUGGGCGGAUGAAUGAAAUGGAAACGGCCUGUGCGGCAACGGCAGGUUUCAUCCGGUGAAAAACAACCCGACCUAAGCCGUAAGAUUUACUCUGCCUGCCGCCGUUUUUACAUUACAAAGU
Non-coding RNA from Firmicutes bacterium CAG:110, 642 nucleotides. NCBI's taxonomy places the organism in Bacteria, Bacillati, Bacillota. The record is from Rfam.